GAUGAACGCUGGCGGCGUGCCUAAUACAUGCAAGUCGAGCGAACGGACGAGAAGCUUGCUUCUCUGAUGUUAGCGGCGGACGGGUGAGUAACACGUGGAUAACCUACCUAUAAGACUGGGAUAACUUCGGGAAACCGGAGCUAAUACCGGAUAAUAUUUUGAACCGCAUGGUUCAAAAGUGAAAGACGGUCUUGCUGUCACUUAUAGAUGGAUCCGCGCUGCAUUAGCUAGUUGGUAAGGUAACGGCUUACCAAGGCAACGAUGCAUAGCCGACCUGAGAGGGUGAUCGGCCACACUGGAACUGAGACACGGUCCAGACUCCUACGGGAGGCAGCAGUAGGGAAUCUUCCGCAAUGGGCGAAAGCCUGACGGAGCAACGCCGCGUGAGUGAUGAAGGUCUUCGGAUCGUAAAACUCUGUUAUUAGGGAAGAAUAUAUGUGUAAGUAACUGUGCACAUCUUGACGGUACCUAAUCAGAAAGCCACGGCUAACUACGUGCCAGCAGCCGCGGUAAUACGUAGGUGGCAAGCGUUAUCCGGAAUUAUUGGGCGUAAAGCGCGCGUAGGCGGUUUUUUAAGUCUGAUGUGAAAGCCCACGGCUCAACCGUGGAGGGUCAUUGGAAACUGGAAAACUUGGGUGCAGAAGAGGAAAGUGGAAUUCCAUGUGUAGCGGUGAAAUGCGCAGAGAUAUGGAGGAACACCAGUGGCGAAGGCGACUUUCUGGUCUGUAACUGACGCUGAUGUGCGAAAGCGUGGGGAUCAAACAGGAUUAGAUACCCUGGUAGUCCACGCCGUAAACGAUGAGUGCUAAGUGUUAGGGGGUUUCCGCCCCUUAGUGCUGCAGCUAACGCAUUAAGCACUCCGCCUGGGGAGUACGACCGCAAGGUUGAAACUCAAAGGAAUUGACGGGGACCCGCACAAGCGGUGGAGCAUGUGGUUUAAUUCGAAGCAACGCGAAGAACCUUACCAAAUCUUGACAUCCUUUGACAACUCUAGAGAUAGAGCCUUCCCCUUCGGGGGACAAAGUGACAGGUGGUGCAUGGUUGUCGUCAGCUCGUGUCGUGAGAUGUUGGGUUAAGUCCCGCAACGAGCGCAACCCUUAAGCUUAGUUGCCAUCAUUAAGUUGGGCACUCUAAGUUGACUGCCGGUGACAAACCGGAGGAAGGUGGGGAUGACGUCAAAUCAUCAUGCCCCUUAUGAUUUGGGCUACACACGUGCUACAAUGGACAAUACAAAGGGCAGCGAAACCGCGAGGUCAAGCAAAUCCCAUAAAGUUGUUCUCAGUUCGGAUUGUAGUCUGCAACUCGACUACAUGAAGCUGGAAUCGCUAGUAAUCGUAGAUCAGCAUGCUACGGUGAAUACGUUCCCGGGUCU
Molecule: ribosomal RNA, 1372 nt
Filed under: uncultured bacterium
Lineage: Bacteria
Description: bacterial SSU rRNA
Rfam family: Bacterial small subunit ribosomal RNA
Source: RNAcentral